CAAUGCCUGCGGAGAGAAAGA
This 21-nucleotide microRNA is filed under the name Marek's disease virus serotype 2 MDV2. RNAcentral's name for it is "mdv2-miR-M18-3p". Its record names the gene mdv2-miR-M18-3p. Lineage: Duplodnaviria; Heunggongvirae; Peploviricota; Herviviricetes; Herpesvirales; Orthoherpesviridae. The record is from miRBase by way of RNAcentral.